Molecule: long non-coding RNA, 758 nt
Organism: Aedes albopictus (Asian tiger mosquito)
Lineage: Eukaryota; Metazoa; Arthropoda; Insecta; Diptera; Culicidae
Exons: 2
Source: RefSeq, a predicted model, not a curated record
UUGGACACUUUCGAAUAUGGAUUUUUUUAAUUCGAAAUAUGAUUCAAAUCUGUUUGAUGUCUUUGGGACUAUUACCAAGCAAUAGUUUUCCCUCCAUUUGGUUGAAAUUAUUUUUCAAACAGACCGUUUAUUGCUUGGCAGGACGCGAAAAUACAUCGAAUAAAUCAAUAAAAUAUACAUAACGUAUCAGAACAUUUGGUCUGUAAGCAUUGUUUCUACAGUUCAUAAAUUUCAAAGGGUUGAUCAAUUCAUUCAAAAUAUAUCAACGUAGCAUAUACAAUCGAAUAUUUGUGUCGUUAUACAUUAUAAAUGACCAUUUCACCCAAAUAAAGGAUUGAUGGUCCUUUUUUUAGGCUAUUUAUAUAGCAAUAUCACGCUGCUCAUAAUACCAAAGGUAGCACGGAACCAUCUUCAAACGCAUAAAUUUAUUGAAAUCAUGUCUGAUAUAGUAUACUACAGUAUUGGUACAAAGUAGUUUUCUAAAUAAACCUGGAAUUUGAAAUGCAAUUUUGUUUUAGAUAAAAAUGUCCAAAGUAGCCCCCAUCUGGUUCUAUAUGAGAUGUGUCCGAUUGGUGUAUGAACAACUUUUUUGUUUAUUGAUGGAUUUAGUUCAAAUUUUGCAUACAUCCUACAUACAUACUCACAAUUAUUAUGUGUAAAAAUUGUGGAAAUCCAUUCACUACUCUGGGAGUUAUAAUGUCAUAAAGUUGAAAAAUCAUGAAAAAGUGCAAAAAGAAGCCCCGCACGACGGUACAUGC